This 1137-nucleotide long non-coding RNA is filed under the name Anser cygnoides (Swan goose). RNAcentral describes it as "lncRNA (ENSACDG00005004393.1)". The record is from RNAcentral. Lineage: Eukaryota; Metazoa; Chordata; Aves; Anseriformes; Anatidae.
UGGGACCCCCAAAUACAUCGCCACACUGGAGGCAAGCGGCAGGGACGCAACGGGGAUGGCACCGACCUCUGCGCCCCAGGGAGGGGGCUGUCACCCCGUCCCCGUGUCCCAUGGGGAGCUGCCACGAUUCAAGAGCUCCUGGGGACAACUGGAACACAGCAAAGGCUGAGCCCCGGUGGGCACCGCAGCCCGAGGACGGGGCAGCAGCACCCAGGGGACGUGGGGACACAGGGCCGUGCCGGUGGGGGCAGCGCUGCCGGUGGCUCGCGAGCUGCAGCCCAGGCACGCCGCCCACCCUGCCGCCAGCUCCCCUGGAUCUCCGCGGCUCCGUCCCCCCAGGGAAUUGUCUUUAUUAAGCCGCCCUGCUCGGGCUCCUCGCCGGCAGGAAGGAUUAACGCCACCGCAGCCUCGCGCCUCUCCGCUCCUGUGCGCUCGGGUUUCCUGCAGCAAACGCGCCCCUGGGAUCGUCCCCAAGCGCUGUGGGGCUGCGGGAAGCUGCAGGAGCCCCGGGCACGUUGCCACCGGGGUCUGCGGGGAUGCGGUGUGGGGCACGAGCCAAGGAGCCGGAGCUGGGUCUGGGGGCUGGGAGGCAGAAGCCACGAGGGCACCAGGGAGGGGACCCCUGUGUCCCCGUCCUGGGGUUGGCAGCAGUGCUGCCUGUUUGCAGGGUGUUGGGAGCAUGGCCCUGGGCACCCCACGGGGACCCUGCGCAGCAGCUGCCCGGGCUGGCCCAUGCUCCUGGGGCACAGGAGCUGCAGCCUGCGUGCCGUGGGGCACCGCAGUGCCUCUGCUGCCGAGGCUCUGCUGGGGAGAUGGCAGCUGAGCUGCCCCAGCCCCACUCCCCCUGAUGUGCCCCGGCACCCCCUGAUCUGCCCCAGCUCCCCCAUUCCUGAGCCAGCACCCCCGUUCCUGCUGCAGCUCCCCCGUCCCCUCCUCUCCCCCUGCUCCCAGCACGCGGCGGGGCCGUGCCCUGUGCCUGGAGCCCCCACCGCCGGGGGGGUGCAGUUCUGUCACCCUGGGGUCCCAGGAGCGAGGGGAAGAGCAAAGCCGUCGGCGCCCAACGAGCGCGGUUUUAUCCUGACAGUCAUUCAGGGAGAUGGCCAAGGGCUGCGGAGGGCAUUUUUUAUCCUAUAUUGA